Long non-coding RNA from Drosophila biarmipes, 429 nucleotides. RefSeq lists it as uncharacterized. The transcript has 2 exons. The record is from RefSeq and is a predicted model, not a curated record. NCBI's taxonomy places the organism in Eukaryota, Metazoa, Arthropoda, Insecta, Diptera, Drosophilidae.
GUGAGCUGUUUAAUUAUACUCUUAUAUUCAAGUUUUAGUUCAAAAAAAUUUUAAGUAAAAACAAACAAGGUGGAAGAGUUAAUCAACGACUUUGAAAAGACUCUAACCAUGGCUCCCUUACCUGCAGUGGCUUCUAGCAGCCAGAUGGAAUGAAAUCGCGAGAUUAAAGACGCAAUUAAAUCCCAAUAUAAAGAAGGUUGAGGAAUUCAAGGUGGAAGCUGUUGAUCCAAACGUAAGGUGCGAUACUUCUUAUGAAAUCAUUAAGUCGGUUCGAGAAUAUAAUGGUGAAGAAGAUAGUUAUGUAAGCUGGAGAGAAUCGGCGGAAAUAGCAAUGGGACAAUACAAAAGGGGGAGCGAAAAAUACUUUUCGGCACUAUCUAUUCUUCAAAAUAAAAUUACUGGCAUUGCCAAUAAUGUUUUAACUCAUAA